AAUCUUACCGGGUCCGGACACACUGAGGAUUGACAGGCAAUAUCUAAAUCGUUUUAAUUCUAAAUUAUAAUACGUAUUUAGUGUUAAAUAUGCUAGUCCUUUCAUGAUUAUGUGAUAGGUGGUGCAUGGCCGUUCUUAGUUCGUGGAGUGAUCUGUCUGCUUAAUUGCGUUUCACUAAGGGCCCAUAAAUUCAAGGUAUGUUAGCUAUCGUUUCUCAAUUGACCCCUUGUCUUCGAUAAGCGCGUGUCUUUUAGAGUUUAAACAUUGCGCAUGCUGUUGGGUCCUGAAAGCAACGAACGUGACCGCAACGUCUUAUUGCCUUUAUCUUGUUAUAUUCUAAUUUAAUUAGAAAUAACUAACAGAGGCUAAUUUAAAAUUAGACGGACCGCUGUACUUUUCUUAAACCAGAGGAAGGUUGCGGCAAUAACAGGUCUGUGAUGCCCUUAGAUGUUCCGGGCUGCACACGUGCUACAAUGAUCAGUACAGUGAGCAUCUCAAUAUUAUACACCGUAUUAAGCGCUUAGUUGCGAUUAUUGGCUCAUUAUUGGGUCUUUUAAUUG
This 560-nucleotide ribosomal RNA is filed under the name Neogloboquadrina dutertrei. RNAcentral describes it as "bacterial SSU rRNA". It matches the Rfam family "Eukaryotic small subunit ribosomal RNA", at positions 1211 to 1586 of the family's 1831-position model. Lineage: Eukaryota; Foraminifera; Rotaliida; Globorotaliidae. The record is from RNAcentral.